UAAGCGGAGGAAANGAAACUAACAAGGAUUCCCCUAGUAACUGCGAGUGAAGCGGGAAAAGCUCAAAUUUAAAAUCUGGUGGCCUCUGGUCAUCCGAGUUGUAAUUUAGAGAAGCGUCUUCCGCGCUGGACCAUGCACAAGUCUCCUGGAAUGGAGCGUCAUAGAGGGUGAGAAUCCCGUCUUUGACAUGGACUACCAGUACAUUAUGGUGCGCUCUCAAAGAGUCGAGUUGUUUGGGAAUGCAGCUCAAAAUGGGUGGUAAAUGCCAUCUAAAGCUAAAUAUUGGCGAGAGACCGAUAGCGAACAAGUACCGUGAGGGAAAGAUGAAAAGAACUUUGGAAAGAGAGUUAAACAGUACGUGAAAUUGCUGAAAGGGAAACGCUUGAAGUCAGUCACGUUGGCUAGAAAUCAGCCCUGCUCUUGCUCGGUGUACUUUCUGGUUGAUGGGUCAGCAUCAAUUUCGACCAUUGGAUAAAGUCUCUGGGAAUGUGGCAUCUUCGGAUGUGUUAUAGCCCAGGGUCGCAUGCAGUGGUUGGGAUUGAGGAACUCAGCACGCCGCAAGGCCGGGUUUCGACCACGUUCGUGCUUAGGAUGCUGGCAUAAUGGCUUUAAUCGACC
RNAcentral lists this ribosomal RNA (618 nucleotides) under uncultured Russulaceae. RNAcentral describes it as "LSU rRNA". It matches the Rfam family "Eukaryotic large subunit ribosomal RNA", at positions 47 to 649 of the family's 3401-position model. The record is from RNAcentral. Lineage: Eukaryota; Fungi; Basidiomycota; Agaricomycetes; Russulales; Russulaceae.